ACGGGUGAGUAACGCGUAGACAACCUACCUUCUAGAUGGGGACAACACCGCGAAAGUGGUGCUAAUACCGAAUGUUGUACGAGAGGGGCAUUCCUUUCGUACUAAAGAUGGCCUCUAUUUAUAAGCUAUCGCUAGAAGACGGGUCUGCGUCUGAUUAGCUAGUAGGCGGGGUAAAAGCCCACCUAGGCGACGAUCAGUAGCCGGUCUGAGAGGAUGAACGGCCACACUGGGACUGAGACACGGCCCAGACUCCUACGGGAGGCAGCAGUGGGGAAUCUUCCGCAAUGGACGAAAGUCUGACGGAGCAACGCCGCGUGAGUGAUGAAGGCCUUCGGGUUGUAAAGCUCUGUUAUCAGGGAAGAACACUUUACUUGUGAAUAAUGAGUAGAGUUGACGGUACCUGAGGAGGAAGCCACGGCUAACUACGUGCCAGCAGCCGCGGUAAUACGUAGGUGGCGAGCGUUGUCCGGAAUUAUUGGGCGUAAAGCGCGCGUAGGCGGGAAAGUAAGUCUACUCUAAAAGUGCGGGGCUCAACCCCGUGAUGGGGUGGAAACUGCUUUUCUUGAGUGCCGGAGAGGAAAGCGGAAUU
RNAcentral lists this ribosomal RNA (589 nucleotides) under uncultured bacterium. Its description in RNAcentral is "bacterial SSU rRNA". It matches the Rfam family "Bacterial small subunit ribosomal RNA", at positions 102 to 668 of the family's 1533-position model. The record is from RNAcentral.